Molecule: ribosomal RNA, 492 nt
Filed under: uncultured bacterium
Lineage: Bacteria
Description: partial 16S ribosomal RNA
Rfam family: Bacterial small subunit ribosomal RNA
Source: RNAcentral
AGUGAACGCUGGCGGUAGGCCUAACACAUGCCAGUCGAACGGCAGCACAGUAAGAGCUUGCUCUUACGGGUGGCGAGUGGCGGACGGGUGAGGAAUACAUCGGAAUCUACUUUUUCGUGGGGGAUAACGUAGGGAAACUUACGCUAAUACCGCAUACGACCUACGGGUGAAAGCAGGGGAUCUUCUGACCUUGCGCGAUUGAAUGAGCCGAUGUCGGAUUAGCUAGUUGGCGGGGUAAAGGCCCACCAAGGCGACGAUCCGUAGCUGGUCUGAGAGGAUGAUCAGCCACACUGGAACUGAGACACGGUCCAGACGCCUACGGGAGGCAGCAGUGGGGAAUAUUGGACAAUGGGCGCAAGCCUGAUCCAGCCAUACCGCGUGGGUGAAGAAGGCCUUAGGGUUGUAAAGCCCUUUUGUUGGGAAAGAAAAGCAGCAGGUUAAUACCCCGCUGUUCUGACGGUACCCAAAGAAUAAGCACCGGCUAACUUCGUG